AACGUAGGUUCCGAGCGUUAUCCGGAUUUACUGGGCGUAAAGCGCGUGCAGGCGGUUCUGCAAGUCGGGCAUUAAAUCUCUGGGCUUAACUCGGAGGCGCUGUCCGAUACUGUGGGACUUGAGGACGGGAGAGGGUGGUGGAAUUCCGCAUGUAGUGGUGAAAUGCGUAGAGAUGCGGAGGAACACCAGUGGCGAAAGCGGCCACCUGGCCCGCUCCUGACGCUCAGACGCGAAAGCUCGGGGAGCGAACGGG
RNAcentral lists this ribosomal RNA (253 nucleotides) under uncultured bacterium. Its description in RNAcentral is "partial 16S ribosomal RNA". It matches the Rfam family "Bacterial small subunit ribosomal RNA", at positions 524 to 776 of the family's 1533-position model. The record is from RNAcentral.